UUAAUCCUGAUGUGUUUGUCUGAGAAACGUUUUGACCGAACAUUUUUAUACUUGGGAGCCCGAUCGUUUCUGUGUUGCGUGCAAGCCUUUACCGUACUUAGAGAGGAAGCAUAAGAGGUAUAGAACAAGGCACCCACCUGCCGAGAGCGGGAUCAAAACAAAAAAGCCAGACGGCACAAUCGGGAUUAAA
Molecule: non-coding RNA, 190 nt
Filed under: Virgibacillus phasianinus
Lineage: Bacteria; Bacillati; Bacillota; Bacilli; Caryophanales; Bacillaceae
Description: Virgibacillus sp. LM2416 6S / SsrS RNA
Rfam family: 6S / SsrS RNA
About the family: E. coli 6S RNA was the first non coding RNA to be sequenced, but its function was unknown until recently.
Source: Rfam by way of RNAcentral